UCUAAUUCAUGCUCCGCAACCUGGAAUGCCCUAUGUCACAUCCCGGUCAGGGUCCACCACCGUAGCACGAUAUUAUCCGCUUUGGGCUUACCAUUCCAUCACGAUUUUGUUUUUGGGAACUCACGAGCAACUUCCCAGUGGGUCACCCAUCUUGGGAGUGCUCUGGCCUCCUUCUCGCUUAACUUUGGAGUUCCUACAAAACCCAAAGUCAGUGAGCUCCCA
This 222-nucleotide long non-coding RNA is filed under the name Malus domestica (apple). RNAcentral describes it as "long non-coding RNA (MDOM_LNC006712)". The record is from RNAcentral. Lineage: Eukaryota; Viridiplantae; Streptophyta; Magnoliopsida; Rosales; Rosaceae.